GAGUGAGGAGGGGGAGGAAAAAACUGGCCUUUGUUGUGAAGCCACGGUCCCAAACUUGAACCUAGAGGAAUGUUAAAGCUCUGAAAAAAAGUUAGGGAGCAGCCUUGCAAUUAUGCACUCAGCCUCAACAAGAGGGUAAGAACUUUCAAGGCACUGGAUUGAAGAGACACAAAAGUCAGGAAAUGACCCUUUCGUCGGGAUUUCAGAGGCCGCAGAGGAGAAACAAAGUCCUCUCACAACUUGGGAAACUUCGGACCGUACCAUCCCGAGGGGGCAAGGGUGGGGGAGGCCGGGAGAGGGCAGUGGAAAUUGACAUCUUCGUUCUCAACAAGCCGUGAGUAAACUGAGGAUUUCCCGGCUGAAAGGACUCAGUGUCUGCCUGUCCCCGGCCCAGAAAUGAAAGCGAGUUUCAGCCGAUCCUCAUUGUGGGGCCUGCUGAAAAAGCAGCCCGGGUCGCCCCGGCCAGCCCCGGCGUCCUGAAUCGGAGCCCUGUGCGCGCCAGGCCGGGCCGCGCGCCCGGGUUGCUGGAUGGCGUGCCCAGGCCAGCCCAUCUGCGGCCUCGGGCCGGCGGGGAGGAAGCGUCCCUGGGGAUGAAUGGGGCUUUGUUCGUAGGCAGCAGCGGCUACCCUCUGCAGGCCCGGCCCGCACAACAGAGGCUGUAUGCGAGAGGAAUGGAAAUGAGCCUCAGGCCCUGCCGAAGGAGCCCCAUCCCCUUCCCCGCGCGGGGCUGAGGAAUGCUGGCCAGCCGGAAAGGAACCCUCGCUGGGAACGCCGCUCUCGCGCCUCUGAAACCCCAUUGAGAAGAACCCUUUGAUGCAAUUAAAGCGCAUUUCAUUGCAGGCCUGGGAGGAGGGAACGACCGGCAAGCUUUUUUCUGUCUCGGACGUGUGUGUGCACCUUUGUGGGCCGGGUUACUUGGAGACCAGGCGGGAACUGGAGCUCCCUCUCUCGCAGACGUUCUGUAACAUCAGAAAAGCGUACCCAUAAACAGAUUGGUUUUCACCAGGGGUGGAACCCAAUUUGGACACGAUCCAGGCUGACCUGCAGGCCGGGGUUCCUACUUUGAAAGGCUCUUUGGUGCGCCUUACACCCACCUUCCCUGCUGUAAAGGUUUAGGCGGAAAAGAAAUUGCGUUUGCAGGAGGAAGUUGUUUCUGAGGUUACUGCUCAGCAUUUUCCAUUUUCUCAGUGGUGGGGUGGGCCGUGUCGCAUAUCCAGAAGUGAUGUCACAGCCAGACCUGCAAAAUGAUGUAACCUGCAAGUGUUGAAGGACGACGAUGGGACAGCUAUUUUGAUACUCGUAUUAUUUUAUAACAUUUCCCUACUUUUUCCAUUGAGACAACUGUGUGACCUCAGAAAAUCCACAUAGCCUCUCUGAACUUAGUAUUUUUUUGUGUUAAAAUGAAUAUCACAAAGCCAGAGAACGAAUGUGAUGAAGUUCUGGGUGCUUGUGGAAUUCUUUCUAAGUUGGAGGUGGACACUUUAUAUACCUGCACAGGGGGAAGAUACGUGGGUCUGGAACUCCGUGUAUGCCUCCUUGAGAACGCGAACCUUUAAACAACAACAACAACAACAACGAAACGAAGACAGAGUCCUGCCUGCUCUCCCAGGCUAGAGUGCAGCGUGCAAUCGUAGCCUACAGUAAGAAGGGAGAGCAAGAUGGCCAAAUAGAAGCCUCCAGCAAUUAUACCCCCCAACAGGAACAACAAAUUAAGCAACACAAGAAAAGCACCUUCAUAAAAUUGAAAAUUCAGCUCCUGCUCCUGCUGCCCUCAGGCUUGGCAGGGAGCAAAAAGACUAAGGAAUAAGGACUAAGGAGGACCUCCAGCACAGCACCGCUGCCUUAUGGAAAAGCAACCAGACUGUGUUCCAGUUUCCCUGAACAAGUUCUCUUUUGUCUGCUGCGAUGUGAGAUGUGACUUUCACCUUCUGCCAUAAUGGUGAGGCCUCCCCAGCCACGUGGAACUAUGCAGAACCUUCAAAGGAGUGUGGAAAGUGUCUGGAAGGAAAGGUGUGCACCUUGGAGCUUUCCUUGGAGUGUAUCAUUGAGCUCUUUGCGUUUGGGUGGUGAGUCUUUGGAAGGACAGAGGAGGGAAGGCCUGACACCUGACACUUGGAGAGCUUAAGCCUCAGAAUAAAAAAUUGCCGUGAAUUUGAAUGAAGAUAAGAGAAGAGGACAGUGAGAGAUGUUCCAAUGAUGGCAACACAAUGUUCCACGAUAAAACUGACACAAAAAACAAUGCAAAAUUUGUCUAAGAGAGGUUCAGCAAGCAUGAGAAAAACAUCUGAUAUCUCUCAGAGCCCGCCAAGUUUGCAGCUUACAGUGCCAGAGUAAUUAUGGGAUGAUUUGAACAGAGGCAAUGCAUGAGGAAGCCACUUCCAAAUGUAUCAGAUGUCCAGUUCCCCUUCCACUUCCACCAUGUUAUGAUACAGCAUGAGGCCCUCACCCAGAAGCUGACCAAAAGCAGCUGCCUGAUCUUGGACUUCCUGCCUCCAGAACUGUGAGCUAAAUAAACCUCUUUUCUUUAUAAAUUACCUAGUAUCAAAUAAACUGUUAUAGC
Molecule: long non-coding RNA, 2560 nt
Organism: Pongo pygmaeus (Bornean orangutan)
Lineage: Eukaryota; Metazoa; Chordata; Mammalia; Primates; Hominidae
Exons: 9
Source: RefSeq, a predicted model, not a curated record